This 321-nucleotide ribosomal RNA is filed under the name uncultured eukaryote. RNAcentral's name for it is "partial 18S ribosomal RNA". It matches the Rfam family "Eukaryotic small subunit ribosomal RNA", at positions 1470 to 1796 of the family's 1831-position model. The record is from RNAcentral.
CCCUUAGAUGUCCUGGGCCGCACGCGCGCUACACUGACAUGUUCAACAAGCCUCCUAGUUCGACAGGAUUUGGGAAAUCUUUGAACGCAUGUCGUGAUAGGGAUAGAUCAUUGCAAUUAUUGAUCUUGAACGAGGAAUUCCUAGUAAACGCAAGUCAUCAGCUCGCAUUGAUUACGUCCCUGCCCUUUGUACACACCGCCCGUCGCACCUACCGAUUGAAUGUUUCGGUGAAGAUUCCGGAUAGGACUUUUUUGAUUUAUUUCAAUUUUGUCUUAAAAGCUAUCUAAACCUCAACAUUUAGAGGAAGGUGAAGUCGUAACA